This is a long non-coding RNA of Ornithodoros turicata, 160 nucleotides long. RefSeq lists it as uncharacterized. The transcript has 3 exons. The record is from RefSeq and is a predicted model, not a curated record. NCBI's taxonomy places the organism in Eukaryota, Metazoa, Arthropoda, Arachnida, Ixodida, Argasidae.
AAGGACAUGAGGGACCUUCGAAAUUUGGCCUCGAUGAACACCAAGAGGUAGCAUGGGACUCGAAGAAGGACAUGAGGGACCUUCGAAAUUUGGCCUCGAUGAACACCAAGAGGUAGCAUGGGACUCGAAGAAGGACCUGAGGGACCUUCGAAAUUUGGCC